Long non-coding RNA from Oncorhynchus gorbuscha (pink salmon), 1715 nucleotides. RefSeq lists it as uncharacterized. The transcript is spliced from 4 exons. Lineage: Eukaryota; Metazoa; Chordata; Actinopteri; Salmoniformes; Salmonidae. The record is from RefSeq and is a predicted model, not a curated record.
CAGAUUUAAAGCCUUGUAUGAUACUUAUAUUAGCGUAUAACUUUUUUAAAUAUCAUAUUUAUAGCUUUAUAACAAUUUAAACGUAUAUGAACUAUUUUGGGUGUAGCCCAUCAAAAUCACUCAACGUCUUCCACGCGAGCGACAUGAAUCGAGCGCACCCAGUUUUCUGGCGAGAUGUUUUGACUUUCGUGUAGUGAUGUUUGAUAGAUACAUAUUCGAGAAACUGUUGCCCAAUAUCUCUGAUAGAUAAGUAUUCGGCAAACUAUUGCCCAUUACCUAUGUGUAGAGAUGGCGAAAGUUGAAGAGGAUCAGAACUGGCUUUCAGCAGACUGACAUUUCAAUGGAUGGCUGCACUUUAUCAAAUGGGAAUGGUGGUAAUAUGGCUGUUAUCAACAGAAAGAGUUAAAAGAUGUUGAUAUAGUGGCAUGCAUCUUUGCCCUACAUGUGGGAAACAGUGACUUCACCAUGCAUUUUACUGAUAAGUAGGGGGAUGUGUUCAAGUACAGGCUUCUCACUCUGAGCAGGUCAAAUAGAUAAGAGCCACAUAUGGAGUUUAAUCUACCAUACCGGAUUAAAGGAAAUGUUACUGUCUUGAAGGGCCCUAGUGUAAUAUGGAGCCAUGAAGGUGUUGUCUUUUACAUUUCUCUACAAGCAGGUGAAGUUAGGCAUUUGUCUAUCAAGCUCGCUCUGAACUUUAUUGGUGAGGAUGCCCUCAACAAAAGGAAAAUAUUCAUACUAGAUUCCCAAACACUAUCAAAAGAAUGCCUGAAUGAUCAAUUGGACUCUCCGGGGAGGAGCAAAACCCUGGGGUAUUUUGUAGAGGAAGGACAAGUAUUUAACGGUGCUCUGAUCUUAACUCAUGCCUACAGUUCCAUCACACCGUGUAGAUUUGGGAUCUCAGCUGAAGAGGUGAACAGUGUGUCAACUGGUAGCAGCGACCAGUAAAAAGCAGUUGCUGUAUUUGAAAGGUAUGCCAGGUUUCCUUUUGAAGAACCUCACCACAUUCAGAUGGUCAACACUGGACAGAAUGGAUGUCUGUUUGCCAUCUCUUUCAACCAUGUGCAGUCUGUGCAGUAUGGAAAGACACAUUUCAGGUAUUGGAAUGCUAUUUUGUGAGAUCGUCAUGCUCAUUGCUUACUGUGUAAAACUGUAUAAUUGUCAUGGCCCUGCUCUGUCUCCCUCGGGGAGUAUCAUGCUGGUUGGGUGUGAGCUCCCUCCGCGAGGAUGACGUUGUGGACUGUGGAACAGAUCAGAUACUGCUGGUCUUUGGAAGCCAGUGCCCUACUGUGGGUCCAGUGGAUCAAUACCUCAUCACAGAUCUCUGCGGGACAACCUAUUCUGAGAGACGCUGUACUUUUCUGCUCUUCUUUACCAGUCUUAUAACACCCUACUUAUAACCCAGUUCUGAUGUGUGAAGAUUGUUGUAUGUUUCAGCAUGGACAUGAGAGCGGUGAAGGACGGACCAUAUCUGACACAGCUCAAGAGAACUAACUCCUAACUGUCAAAACUCUACAGGACAGACUACAGAGGGGUCUGACCUUGCUCCGGGUUCUUCAGAGAGAUGUAAGGGUAAAAGAGAGGAUUCUACGCCAGUCAGUCCAAGCCCUUACAGAAGAGGUCUCAGGAAGAGAACACAUUCUCACCCAGACAGAGCAGUGUUUUUUCCGGCGUCCUGGAACGCACCCUGUCUGGUUGCCGGGCAAUGUAGCCAGUUG